RNAcentral lists this ribosomal RNA (253 nucleotides) under uncultured bacterium. RNAcentral's name for it is "partial 16S ribosomal RNA". It matches the Rfam family "Bacterial small subunit ribosomal RNA", at positions 524 to 776 of the family's 1533-position model. The record is from RNAcentral.
UACGUAGGGUGCGAGCGUUGUCCGGAAUUAUUGGGCGUAAAGAGCUUGUAGGCGGUCUGUCGCGUCUGCUGUGAAAUUUCGGGGCUCAACCCCGAACUUGCAGUGGGUACGGGCAGACUAGAGUGUGGUAGGGGAGACUGGAAUUCCUGGUGUAGCGGUGAAAUGCGCAGAUAUCAGGAGGAACACCGAUGGCGAAGGCAGGUCUCUGGGCCAUAACUGACGCUGAGAAGCGAGAGCAUGGGGAGCGAACAGG